GAUGAACGCUGGCGGCGUGCUUAACACAUGCAAGUCGAACGGAAAGGCCAGUGCUUGCACUGGUACUCGAGUGGCGAACGGGUGAGUAACACGUGGGUGAUCUGCCCUGUACUUCGGGAUAAGCUUGGGAAACUGGGUCUAAUACCGGAUAGGACAACUUUUUGGAUAUUGUUGUGGAAAGCUUUUGCGGUAUGGGAUGAGCUCGCGGCCUAUCAGCUUGUUGGUGGGGUAAUGGCCUACCAAGGCGUCGACGGGUAGCCGGCCUGAGAGGGUGUACGGCCACAUUGGGACUGAGAUACGGCCCAGACUCCGACGGGAGGCAGCAGUGGGGAAUAUUGCACAAUGGGCGCAAGCCUGAUGCAGCGACGCCGCGUGGGGGAUGAAGGCCUUCGGGUUGUAAACUCCUUUCGCUAGGGACGAAGCUUUUUUGUGACGGUACCUGGAGAAGAAGCACCGGCUAACUACGUG
This 468-nucleotide ribosomal RNA is filed under the name uncultured bacterium. RNAcentral's name for it is "partial 16S ribosomal RNA". It matches the Rfam family "Bacterial small subunit ribosomal RNA", at positions 28 to 507 of the family's 1533-position model. The record is from RNAcentral.